GGCUCGAUGAUUUCUUCGCCUGUAAAGGCAAUAUACGCUAUUCUGAAUCAUUUGUGUUGUCAUUCAUAAUUUUUCUAUGAGAGUU
Non-coding RNA from Spinacia oleracea (spinach), 85 nucleotides. The record is from Rfam. Lineage: Eukaryota; Viridiplantae; Streptophyta; Magnoliopsida; Caryophyllales; Amaranthaceae.